UGUAGCUCAGUAGUAGAGUAUGUGCUUAGCAUGCAUGAGGUCCUGGGUUAAAUUCCUAGCA
RNAcentral lists this transfer RNA (61 nucleotides) under Fukomys damarensis (Damara mole-rat). It matches the Rfam family "tRNA", at positions 6 to 65 of the family's 71-position model. From Rfam's summary of the family: Transfer RNA (tRNA) molecules are approximately 80 nucleotides in length. Lineage: Eukaryota; Metazoa; Chordata; Mammalia; Rodentia; Bathyergidae. The record is from Rfam by way of RNAcentral.